This 1031-nucleotide ribosomal RNA is filed under the name marine metagenome. RNAcentral describes it as "bacterial SSU rRNA". It matches the Rfam family "Bacterial small subunit ribosomal RNA", at positions 8 to 1075 of the family's 1533-position model. The record is from RNAcentral.
AGAGUUUGAUUAUGGCUCAGAACGAACGCUUGCUGCAUGCUUUAUACAUGCAAGUCGAACGGAGGCCCUAGCUUGCUAGGUGUCCUUAGUGGCGCACGGGUGAGUAACACGUGGGAACAUACCUUAUAGUACGGAAUAACUGCGGGAAACUGUAGCUAAUACCGUAUAUUCCAGUAAUGGGAAAGAUUUAUCGCUAUAAGAUUGGCCCGCGCAAGAUUAGCUUGUUGGUGAGGUAAAAGCUCACCAAGGCUUCGAUCUUUAGCUGGUUUGAGAGGAUGAUCAGCCACACUGGGACUGAGACACGGCCCAGACUCCUACGGGAGGCAGCAGUAGGGAAUAUUGGACAAUGGGGGCAACCCUGAUCCAGCAAUGCAGCGUGAGUGACGAAGGCCUUAGGGUUGUAAAACUCUUUCAUCGGUGAGGAUAAUGACAGUAGCCGAAGAAGAAGGACCGGCUAAUUCCGUGCCAGCAGCCGCGGUAAUACGGAAGGUCCUAGCGUUGUUCGGAAUUACUGGGCGUAAAGCGCAUGUAGGCGGAACAGAAAGUUAGAAGUGAAAUCCCUGGGCUCAACCUAGGAAUUGCUUUUAAAACUUCUGUUCUGGAAUUCAGGAGAGGAAAAUGGAAUUUCCAGUGUAGAGGUGAAAUUCGUAGAUAUUGGAAGGAACACCAGUGGCGAAGGCGAUUUUCUGGACUGAUAUUGACGCUGAGAUGCGAAGGCAUGGGUAGCAAACGGGAUUAGAUACCCCGGUAGUCCAUGCAGUAAACGAUGGGUGCUAGUCGUCGGACUUUUGUUCGGUGUCGUAGCUAACGCGUUAAGCACCCCGCCUGGGGAGUACGGUCGCAAGAUUAAAACUCAAAUAAAUUGACGGGGACCCGCACAAGCAGUGGAGCAUGUGGUUUAAUUCGACGCAACGCGAAGAACCUUACCAGCGUUUGACAUGGAAAGUGCCGGUUACAGAAUGGUAACCUUCAGUUCGGCUGGCUUUCGCACAGGUGCUGCAUGGCUGUCGUCAGCUCGUGUCGUGAGAUGU